RNAcentral lists this ribosomal RNA (274 nucleotides) under uncultured bacterium. RNAcentral describes it as "partial 16S ribosomal RNA". It matches the Rfam family "Bacterial small subunit ribosomal RNA", at positions 523 to 796 of the family's 1533-position model. The record is from RNAcentral.
CUACAGAGGGUGCGAGCGUUAAUCGGAAUUACUGGGCGUAAAGCGCGCGUAGGCGGCUUAUUAAGUCAGAUGUGAAAUCCCCGGGCUCAACCUGGGAACUGCAUCUGAUACUGGUAAGCUAGAGUUUGGGAGAGGGAAGUAGAAUUUCAGGUGUAGCGGUGAAAUGCAUAGAGAUCUGAAGGAAUACCAGUGGCGAAGGCGACUUCCUGGCCUAAAACUGACGCUGAGGUGCGAAAGCGUGGGUAGCAAACGGGAUUAGAAACCCCAGUAGUCC